UCAAGCGAACAAGUGCAUGUGGUGGAUGCCUUGGCGAUCACAGGCGAUGAAGGACGCGGUAGCCUGCGAAAAGCUUCGGGGAGCUGGCAAACGAGCUUUGAUCCGGAGAUGUCCGAAUGGGGAAACCCGGCCCGUAUGGGUCAUCCCACACUGAAUCCAUAGGUGUGGGAAGCGAACGCGGCGAACUGAAACAUCUAAGUAGCUGCAGGAACAGAAAUCAACCGAGAUUCCCAAAGUAGUGGCGAACGAAAUGGGAUGAGCCUUGUACUCUUUAGCAGUGGUGUUAGCAGAACGGGAUGGAAAGCCCGGCCAUAGCAGGUGAUAGCCCUGUAUGCGAAAACACGAUUGUGGAACUAGGUGUACGACAAGUAGGGCGGGACACGUGAAAUCCUGUCUGAAGAUGGGGGGACCAUCCUCCAAGGCUAAAUACUCGUGAUCGACCGAUAGUGAACCAGUACCGUGAGGGAAAGGCGAAAAGAACCCCGGGAGGGGAGUGAAAUAGAUCCUGAAACCGCAUGCAUACAAACAGUCGGAGCCCUUUCGGGGGUGACGGCGUACCUUUUGUAUAAUGGGUCAGCGACUUACAUUCAGUGGCAAGCUUAACCGAUUAGGGAAGGCGUAGCGAAAGCGAGUCCGAACAGGGCGUUGAGUCGCUGGGUGUAGACCCGAAACCAGAUGAUCUAUCCAUGGCCAGGUUGAAGGUGCGGUAACACGUACUGGAGGACCGAACCCACUAACGUUGAAAAGUUAGGGGAUGAGCUGUGGAUAGGGGUGAAAGGCUAAACAAAUCUGGAAAUAGCUGGUUCUCUCCGAAAACUAUUUAGGUAGUGCCUCGUGUCUCACCUUCGGGGGUAGAGCACUGUCAUGGUUGGGGGGUCUAUUGCUGAUUACCCCGCCAUAGCAAACUCCGAAUACCGAAGAGUGCAAUCACGGGAGACAGACAUCGGGUGCUAACGUCCGGUGUCAAGAGGGAAACAACCCAGACCGCCAGCUAAGGUCCCCAAGAUUGGCUAAGUGGGAAACGAAGUGGGAAGGCUAAAACAGUCAGGAGGUUGGCUUAGAAGCAGCCACCCUUUAAAGAAAGCGUAAUAGCUCACUGAUCGAGUCGUCCUGCGCGGAAGAUGUAACGGGGCUAAGCCAGUCACCGAAGCUGCGGACGCACGCAAGUGCGUGGUAGGAGAGCGUUCUGUAAGCCUGUGAAGGUGUCUUGUAAAGGAUGCUGGAGGUAUCAGAAGUGCGAAUGCUGACAUGAGUAGCGAUAAAGGGGGUGAAAGGCCCCCUCGCCGUAAGCCCAAGGUUUCCUACGCAACGUUCAUCGGCGUAGGGUGAGUCGGCCCCUAAGGCGAGGCAGAGAUGCGUAGCUGAUGGGAAGCAGGUUAAUAUUCCUGCACCGUCGUAUGAUGCGAUGGGGGGACGGAUCGCGGAAGGUUGUCCGGGUGUUGGAAGUCCCGGUCCCUGCAUUGGAGAAGGCGCUCAGGCAAAUCCGGGCGCGGGAUUCAAGGAUGUGGGGCGAGCGGCCUAGUGCUGCGAAGCAAUUGGAAGUGGUUCCAAGAAAAGCCUCUAAGCUUCAGUCAUACGAGACCGUACCGCAAACCGACACAGGUGGGCGAGAUGAGUAUUCUAAGGCGCUUGAGAGAACUCGGGAGAAGGAACUCGGCAAAUUGGUACCGUAACUUCGGGAUAAGGUACGCCCUGGUAGCUUGACUGGCCUGCGCCAGAAGGGUGAAGGGGUUGCAAUAAAAUGGUGGCUGCGACUGUUUAAUAAAAACACAGCACUCUGCAAACACGAAAGUGGACGUAUAGGGUGUGACGCCUGCCCGGUGCCGGAAGAUUAAAUGAUGGGGUGCAAGCUCUUGAUUGAAGUCCCGGUAAACGGCGGCCGUAACUAUAACGGUCCUAAGGUAGCGAAAUUCCUUGUCGGGUAAGUUCCGACCUGCACGAAUGGCGUAACGAUGGCCACACUGUCUCCUCCCGAGACUCAGCGAAGUUGAAGUGUUUGUGAUGAUGCAAUCUCCCCGCGGCUAGACGGAAAGACCCCAUGAACCUUUACUGUAGCUUUGCAUUGGACUUUGAACCGAUCUGUGUAGGAUAGGUGGGAGGCUUUGAAGCGUGGACGCCAGUUCACGUGGAGCCGUCCUUGAAAUACCACCCUGGUUUGUUUGAGGUUCUAACCUUGGCCCGUGAAUCCGGGUCGGGGACAGUGCAUGGUAGGCAGUUUGACUGGGGCGGUCUCCUCCCAAAGUGUAACGGAGGAGUUCGAAGGUACGCUUGGUACGGUCGGACAUCGUACCUAAAGUGCAAUGGCAAAAGCGUGCUUAACUGCGAGACCGACAAGUCGAGCAGGUGCGAAAGCAGGACAUAGUGAUCCGGUGGUUCUGAAUGGAAGGGCCAUCGCUCAACGGAUAAAAGGUACUCUGGGGAUAACAGGCUGAUACCGCCCAAGAGUUCAUAUCGACGGCGGUGUUUGGCACCUCGAUGUCGGCUCAUCUCAUCCUGGGGCUGUAGCCGGUCCCAAGGGUAUGGCUGUUCGCCAUUUAAAGAGGUACGUGAGCUGGGUUUAAAACGUCGUGAGACAGUUUGGUCCCUAUCUGCCGUGGGCGUUGGAAUCUUGACGGGGGCUGCUCCUAGUACGAGAGGACCGGAGUGGACGUACCGCUGGUGUACCUGUUGUCUCGCCAGAGGCAUCGCAGGGUAGCUAUGUACGGAAGAGAUAACCGCUGAAAGCAUCUAAGCGGGAAACUCGCCUGAAGAUGAGGAUUCCCUGGAGGCUUGACCUCCUUGAAGGGUCGUUCGAGACCAGGACGUUGAUAGGCUGGGUGUGGAAGCGCAGUAAUGCGUUAAGCUAACCAGUACUAAUUGCCCGUAAGGCUUGAUCCU
This 2877-nucleotide ribosomal RNA is filed under the name Cupriavidus taiwanensis. Its description in RNAcentral is "bacterial LSU rRNA". It matches the Rfam family "Bacterial large subunit ribosomal RNA". The record is from RNAcentral. Lineage: Bacteria; Pseudomonadati; Pseudomonadota; Betaproteobacteria; Burkholderiales; Burkholderiaceae. RNAcentral also lists the same sequence under 1 other name.